RNAcentral lists this ribosomal RNA (274 nucleotides) under uncultured bacterium. RNAcentral's name for it is "partial 16S ribosomal RNA". It matches the Rfam family "Bacterial small subunit ribosomal RNA", at positions 523 to 796 of the family's 1533-position model. The record is from RNAcentral.
AUACGGAGGGUGCAAGCGUUACUCGGAAUCACUGGGCGUAAAGCGCGCGCAGGCGGCUUGAUAAGUUGGAUGUGAAAGCCUACGGCUCAACCGUAGAACUGCAUCCAAAACUGUCAGGCUAGAGUGUGGGAGAGGAAGAUGGAAUUAGUUGUGUAGGGGUAAAAUCCGUAGAGAUAACUAGGAAUACCAAAAGCGAAGGCAAUCUUCUGGAACACUUCUGACGCUGAGGCGCGAAAGCGUGGGGAGCAAACAGGAUUAGAAACCCCAGUAGUCC